RNAcentral lists this ribosomal RNA (410 nucleotides) under uncultured microorganism. RNAcentral's name for it is "bacterial SSU rRNA". It matches the Rfam family "Bacterial small subunit ribosomal RNA", at positions 509 to 917 of the family's 1533-position model. The record is from RNAcentral.
CAGCCGCCGCGGUAAUACGUAGGGUGCGAGCGUUAAUCGGAUUUACUGGGCGUAAAGCGUGCGCAGGCGGCCCGUUAAGACAGGUGUGAAAUCCCUGGGCUCAACCUAGGAAUUGCGCUUGUGACUGGCGGGCUCGAGUACGGUAGAGGGGGGUGGAAUUCCUGGUGUAGCAGUGAAAUGCGUAGAGAUCAGGAGGAACACCGAUGGCGAAGGCAGCCCCCUGGGCCUGUACUGACGCUCAUGCACGAAAGCGUGGGGAGCAAACAGGAUUAGAUACCCUGGUAGUCCACGCCCUAAACGAUGGGUACUAGCCGUUUGGUGCGCGAUAGCGCUGAGUGGCGAAGCUAACGCAUUAAGUGCCCCGCCUGGGGAGUACGGCCGCAAGGUUGAAACUUAAAGGAAUUGGCGGG